GACGAACGCUGGCGGCGUGCUUAACACAUGCAAGUCGAACGGAAAGGCCCUGCUUUUGUGGGGUGCUCGAGUGGCGAACGGGUGAGUAACACGUGAGUAACCUGCCCUUGACUUUGGGAUAACUUCAGGAAACUGGGGCUAAUACCGGAUAGGAGCUCCUGCUGCGUGGUGGGGGUUGGAAAGUUUCGGCGGUUGGGGAUGGACGCGCGGCUUACCAGCUUGUUGGUGGGGUAGUGGCUUACCAAGGCUUGGACGGUUAGCCGGCCUGGGAGGGUGACCGGCCACAUGGGCCUGGGGAAGGGACCAGGGGGGAAUGGGGGGCAAGGGGUGGGAACAUUACCCAAACGGGCGGAGGCGGGAAGGAAGACCUCCGGGUUGGGAAGACCGUCUUUGGGGUAAGAAACGCAUUAGGCUGAUACCGAGCCGUGAUGACGGUAACUGGUGAAUAAGCAACGGCUAACUUCGUG
Molecule: ribosomal RNA, 467 nt
Filed under: uncultured bacterium
Lineage: Bacteria
Description: partial 16S ribosomal RNA
Rfam family: Bacterial small subunit ribosomal RNA
Source: RNAcentral